This 484-nucleotide ribosomal RNA is filed under the name uncultured bacterium. RNAcentral describes it as "partial 16S ribosomal RNA". It matches the Rfam family "Bacterial small subunit ribosomal RNA", at positions 30 to 507 of the family's 1533-position model. The record is from RNAcentral.
AUUGAACGCUGGCGGCAGGCCUAACACAUGCAAGUCGAGCGGAUGAAGGGAGCUUGCUCCUGGAUUCAGCGGCGGACGGGUGAGUAAUGCCUAGGAAUCUGCCUGGUAGUGGGGGAUAACGUCCGGAAACGGGCGCUAAUACCGCAUACGUCCUGAGGGAGAAAGUGGGGGAUCUUCGGACCUCACGCUAUCAGAUGAGCCUAGGUCGGAUUAGCUAGUUGGUGGGGUAAAGGCCUACCAAGGCGACGAUCCGUAACUGGUCUGAGAGGAUGAUCAGUCACACUGGAACUGAGACACGGUCCAGACUCCUACGGGAGGCAGCAGUGGGGAAUAUUGGACAAUGGGCGAGAGCCUCAUCCAGCCAUGCCGCGUGUGUGAAGAAGGUCUUCGGAUUGUAAAGCACUUUAAGUUGGGAGGAAGGGCAGUAAGUUAAUACCUUGCUGUUUUGACGUUACCAACAGAAUAAGCACCGGCUAACUUCGUG